UACAAAUUUAAACGGUCCCGGGGGAG
This 26-nucleotide non-coding RNA is filed under the name Mus musculus (house mouse). Lineage: Eukaryota; Metazoa; Chordata; Mammalia; Rodentia; Muridae. The record is from RNAcentral.